This 67-nucleotide transfer RNA is filed under the name Clanis bilineata. RNAcentral describes it as "tRNA-Leu". The record is from RNAcentral. Lineage: Eukaryota; Metazoa; Arthropoda; Insecta; Lepidoptera; Sphingidae.
GCUAUUUUGGCAGAAAAAUGUGAUGAUUUUAGAAAUCGUUAAUAUAUAAUUUAUUAUAUAUAUAGUA